GAAGAAAACACGCGGAUCCUCCCCCUUGGGUCGAGUCACCGCGCGGGUCUGGGCCAAAACGGCGCCGUUUGGAUUGGGUAUUUAAACCCAAAUUUCUUCAAAAAAAAUCAAUUCAGCCACUGUUUAAAAAAAAAUUUCAGAAACCUCUCCUUUCCUCUCCAAAAAUGGCCGGCCUUUGGGUAGCCAUAACGCCGCCACGCCACCGGUGCGCCCGCCGCACCGCCACCGUCUCCGACGGCCGACGAAGAUCGGCUUUUGAAGCCCUAUUUCCGGUGAAGCAGGUGGCGACGUGACGUGCAGCUUGGCGCGGCGGUGGCAGGAGGUCAGGGGUCAGAAGACCCUAGACCCUUUUUUUUUUGCUUUGGGUCGUUUGGGCCAUGGGAAAUUGGGCUAGACAUUGGGCUUUGGCAUGUAAUUGGGGUUUGGGUUGUAUUUGGGUUUGCCUGGGCCUUGUAAUUGGGCCUGCCUGGGCCCAGGGCGAAAUUGGGCUGUACACUGUUAUUAUGGGACUGAACCAAUUUAAAGAAUAAAAGUAGACAUGUCUUAAAUUGAUAACAUACAA
Molecule: long non-coding RNA, 562 nt
Organism: Gossypium raimondii (Peruvian cotton)
Lineage: Eukaryota; Viridiplantae; Streptophyta; Magnoliopsida; Malvales; Malvaceae
Exons: 2
Source: RefSeq, a predicted model, not a curated record